Molecule: ribosomal RNA, 497 nt
Filed under: uncultured bacterium
Lineage: Bacteria
Description: partial 16S ribosomal RNA
Rfam family: Bacterial small subunit ribosomal RNA
Source: RNAcentral
GAUGAACGCUGGCGGCGUGCCUAAUACAUGCAAGUCGAGCGAACGGACGAGAAGCUUGCUUCUCUGAUGUUAGCGGCGGACGGGUGAGUAACACGUGGAUAACCUACCUAUAAGACUGGGAUAACUUCGGGAAACCGGAGCUAAUACCGGAUAAUAUUUUGAACCGCAUGGUUCAAAAGUGAAAGACGGUCUUGCUGUCACUUAUAGAUGGAUCCGCGCUGCAUUAGCUAGUUGGUAAGGUAACGGCUUACCAAGGCAACGAUGCAUAGCCGACCUGAGAGGGUGAUCGGCCACACGGGAGCUGAGACACGGUCCAGACUCCUACGGGAGGCAGCAGUAGGGAAUCUGCCGCAAUGGGCGAAAGCCUGACGGAGCAACGCCGCGUGAGUGAUGAAGGUCUUCGGAUCGUAAAACUCUGUUAUUAGGGAAGAACAUAUGUGGAAGUAACUGUGCACAUCUUGACGGUACCUAAUCAGAAAGCCACGGCUAACUACGUG